This 506-nucleotide ribosomal RNA is filed under the name uncultured bacterium. RNAcentral describes it as "partial 16S ribosomal RNA". It matches the Rfam family "Bacterial small subunit ribosomal RNA", at positions 29 to 523 of the family's 1533-position model. The record is from RNAcentral.
AGUGAACGCUGGCGGUAGGCCUAACACAUGCAAGUCGAACGGCAGCACAGGAGAGCUUGCUCUCUGGGUGGCGAGUGGCGGACGGGUGAGGAAUACAUCGGAAUCUACUUUUUCGUGGGGGAUAACGUAGGGAAACUUACGCUAAUACCGCAUACGACCUACGGGUGAAAGCAGGGGACCUUCGGGCCUUGCGCGAUUGAAUGAGCCGAUGUCGGAUUAGCUAGUUGGCGAGGUAAAGGCCCACCAAGGCGACGAUCCGUAGCUGGUCUGAGAGGAUGAUCAGCCGCACUGGAACUGAGACACGGUCCAGACUCCUACGGGAGGCAGCGGUGGGGAAUAUUGGACAAUGGGCGCAAGCCUGAUCCAGCCAUACCGCGUGGGUGAAGAAGGCCUUCGGGUUGUAAAGCCCUUUUGUUGGGAAAGAAAUCCAGCUGGCUAAUACCCGGUUGGGAUGACGGUACCCAAAGAAUAAGCACCGGCUAACUUCGUGCCAGCCGCCGCCGUAA